GGAGGGCCUUCCUCACUCAGUUUGGCUGUGGUGUAACGGGCGCUCGACCCAUCACAACCUCCUUGAGUGAGUGAGGCCUCGC
Ixodes scapularis (black-legged tick) is the source of this 82-nucleotide non-coding RNA. The record is from Rfam. Lineage: Eukaryota; Metazoa; Arthropoda; Arachnida; Ixodida; Ixodidae.